GAUGUGGACGCAUGCGGAUCCUUUUCAGGCAACACACUAGAGGUUGUGCAAGAACUGUUGAUGGUCGGGCAACCUGUCGAGGAACCUGCGCCAUUAUCACAAGGUUAACUCUUAUCCUCAGUCUACAUGUCACCUUCUUUGAUUGCUUUUAGGCUAUGAAAUAAUGCAUUGUGGAUUCAGACCUUCUUCACUCGUUUCAAUGUUGUUGUCACGGCAACAGUUCAGGUAAAUGGGAGGCAUGUAAGCUAAAUUUCAAGUGAUGUGAAUGUAGAUUACAGAAGUAGUAGCUUUAACCGAUGACCAGGAAAUUAUUUUCAAUCUAACAAUGAACUUUUUGAAUACAUUACAGUGCAACAAGGAACAUAUAGGCCUGGCUGCUGCUCUUCAGUACGCACGACAGCAACGACACUGCCUUCAAAAUAAAAGCACUUCUAAUCAUAUCAUUCAUAAUGACAAAUCAACUUGGAAGCAAAUAAUGUUCCAGCCUAAGCGCUUUACAGUGAAUGUAUUUGUUAUUUAUUAUUCAUCCAUCAGUUGCUUGAGCAUCUUGGACUUCACCGUAUUUAAGGACCCUACCCUACAACAAAUAAAUGCUCAUCCAUUGUUAUUUGUCUUUAUUUCUUCAUUUCAGCACAAAGUCAACACACAGAUGCUAAGGGGGAAGAACCCAACAGAAGACUAAAAAAGAAGGACAAAGGGCCCAGCAGAAAAAAGAACACGAAGAAACAUUCUGUAUCUCUGGAAAGUGCCAGGAGAGCAAAAAAGCAUCUUUGGUCUCCCAUGGAGGUUGCCGCAGUCAUGAGACAUUUUGGCCAACACAUCAAAAAAGGGAAACUGGCCACUAUGAUUGAAUGCCAGCAAUGCAAGAAGGCUGAAAAUCUUGCUCUGGCUGGUCGCUCUAUCCAAAACAUAAGAGAUUUUGUAAGGAAUCGGGGCGUAACUUUGAAAA
This is a long non-coding RNA of Hypomesus transpacificus, 949 nucleotides long. RefSeq lists it as uncharacterized. The record is from RefSeq and is a predicted model, not a curated record. The transcript has 3 exons. NCBI's taxonomy places the organism in Eukaryota, Metazoa, Chordata, Actinopteri, Osmeriformes, Osmeridae.